AGAAUGUCACCUCCAUCCGCAUCCCCUCUGAGCUCAUCUGGCGGCCGGACAUCGUCCUCUACAACGUCCCCAGCAAACAAAGCCUCGGGCUGGG
This 94-nucleotide small RNA is filed under the name Pongo abelii (Sumatran orangutan). RNAcentral's name for it is "processed transcript". Lineage: Eukaryota; Metazoa; Chordata; Mammalia; Primates; Hominidae. The record is from RNAcentral.